UGGUCACGUGGGGUCUGGAAUCAGACGGGUUGGGUUGGAGGUUUGCUUGACCUUUCUCACCAAGGAGCCCAAACAAGCCUUGUAGCUUUACCUGAGCGUUGGCCUUCUGGCCACUUGAUGAAGAAUCCCUGGCCUGUUGGGGCCGCAGAAAGAGCACGAAUGCCUUCAGUGCCAUUAACUGUUAGCCUGCCCCGUUGUGCUGAAAGCUAAAUAAGGGGAGUGUCUUCACCUGCAACACGUGUGUGGCCCUAAGGACUCUUUGGAGGGAUCAGCUGAUGUUACGU
Molecule: non-coding RNA, 284 nt
Organism: Vicugna pacos (alpaca)
Lineage: Eukaryota; Metazoa; Chordata; Mammalia; Artiodactyla; Camelidae
Source: RefSeq, a predicted model, not a curated record